AAUCUGCCUGGUAGUGGGGGAUAACGCUCGGAAACGGACGCUAAUACCGCAUACGUCCUACGGGAGAAAGCAGGGGACCUUCGGGCCUUGCGCUAUCAGAUGAGCCUAGGUCGGAUUAGCUAGUUGGUGAGGUAAUGGCUCACCAAGGCGACGAUCCGUAACUGGUCUGAGAGGAUGAUCAGUCACACUGGAACUGAGACACGGUCCAGACUCCUACGGGAGGCAGCAGUGGGGAAUAUUGGACAAUGGGCGAAAGCCUGAUCCAGCCAUGCCGCGUGUGUGAAGAAGGUCUUCGGAUUGUAAAGCACUUUAAGUUGGGAGGAAGGGCAGUUACCUAAUACGUAUCUGUUUUGACGUUACCGACAGAAUAAGCACCGGCUAACUCUGUGCCAGCAGCCGCGGUAAUACAGAGGGUGCAAGCGUUAAUCGGAAUUACUGGGCGUAAAGCGCGCGUAGGUGGUUUGUUAAGUUGGAUGUGAAAUCCCCGGGCUCAACCUGGGAACUGCAUUCAAAACUGACAAGCUAGAGUAUGGUAGAGGGUGGUGGAAUUUCCUGUGUAGCGGUGAAAUGCGUAGAUAUAGGAAGGAACACCAGUGGCGAAGGCGACCACCUGGACUGAUACUGACACUGAGGUGCGAAAGC
This 642-nucleotide ribosomal RNA is filed under the name uncultured bacterium. RNAcentral describes it as "bacterial SSU rRNA". It matches the Rfam family "Bacterial small subunit ribosomal RNA", at positions 123 to 760 of the family's 1533-position model. The record is from RNAcentral.